AUGCAGAGAGGAGCAGGUCAUCGCGGUUGCGCCCGAUCCUCAACCCCCGCGUCUCUCCAUCGCGGCCUCUCCUCCCUACCUGCGCCUUCCUAUCGCGCCGCCGCCGUGCCAUGGUUGUUGCCCUCGCCGGAGCUUCCGCGAGCUGCCCCGUCACCCCGUACCUCGUCUGCCUCUGCCUCCGUCGUGCCGCCAGAGGAGCCCCUCUCCUCGCCCUUCCCCGCUCAUCCUCCGGCGCAUCAAGCUCGCAGCCUUUGCCUCCUGUCGCCUCCACUCGAUCGGGAGAGGAGUUCCCGAUCCUUGUGUUGCUCGUCCCCGUCGUUGUGGCCGGAGCUCGCCGGGGCCCGAGUACCAGUCGCCGUCGUUCUCGCUCUACCGACCAGCCGGCCCUGCUUCCUGUUGUGCCGCCUUCCUGUGCCUUGCUCGUUCAGGACGCUAGCCUGCCUGCUCUAUUUCUCCUGCUCGUGCCUAGCCGGAGCACCGUUACCGCUGGCCGGAGUCCCGCGGGAGCAGGAUCUCGCGUUGUCUCUGUCGUCCAGCGUCGCCUCCGCCGGAUCUCCUCGCUGUACGCCCCAUCCGGCUGUCGGACCUCGUCGACAGGACCUCAUGCCUGUGAUGUGUUGCUGUGGACGCAUGGAACCCUGGAAGCAAUCCCAAGCCUCAAAUACCAUGACACUACGAAGACCUGAACCGACAAGUACCAUGGCGUUCGUCAAUCAUCAAGUACCCUCGGAUACGUCAAGUUCAUCUACCGUCGCAAGAAUCGAGACCGACAAGUCCGAAGACCCCAAGUACCUCGACAACAUGUGUACCACUACCAUUAAACCUCGAAGACUGCGGAUUCGUCAAGUUCCUCGUUGUGACCGAAACAUCUACGGAAACUCAUGCAACGAUAAACAUGUACCACUACCGUCGUCGUGGAUCUGA
RNAcentral lists this ribosomal RNA (924 nucleotides) under Triticum aestivum (bread wheat). Its description in RNAcentral is "partial small subunit ribosomal RNA". The record is from RNAcentral. Lineage: Eukaryota; Viridiplantae; Streptophyta; Magnoliopsida; Poales; Poaceae.